GUGUCAGCCGCCGCGGUAAUACGGAGGGGGUUAGCGUUGUUCGGAAUUACUGGGCGUAAAGCGCGCGUAGGCGGAUUGGAAAGUUGGGGGUGAAAUCCCGGGGCUCAACCCAGGAACUGCCUCCAAAACUUCCAGUCUGGAGUUCGAGAGAGGUGAGUGGAAUUCCGAGUGUAGAGGUGAAAUUCGUAGAUAUUCGGAGGAACACCAGUGGCGAAGGCGGCUCACUGGCUCGAUACUGACGCUGAGGUGCGAAAGUGUGGGGAGCUAACAGGAUUAGAUACCCUGGUAGUCCACGCCGUAAACGAUGAAUGCCAGCUGUCGGGCAGCAUGCUGUUCGGUGGCGCAGCUAACGCAUUAAGCAUUCCGCCUGGGGAGUACGGUCGCAAGAUUAAAACUUAAAUGAAUUGACGGGG
RNAcentral lists this ribosomal RNA (413 nucleotides) under uncultured prokaryote. RNAcentral's name for it is "bacterial SSU rRNA". It matches the Rfam family "Bacterial small subunit ribosomal RNA", at positions 505 to 918 of the family's 1533-position model. The record is from RNAcentral.